This 3169-nucleotide long non-coding RNA is filed under the name Apis florea (little honeybee). Its description in RNAcentral is "uncharacterized LOC116415336, transcript variant X4". Lineage: Eukaryota; Metazoa; Arthropoda; Insecta; Hymenoptera; Apidae. The record is from RNAcentral.
AUCUUCGAUUCCAAAGGGAACAAUAAUAUUCUCGCCAAUGAUUUGAAAAAAAAAAAAGAGAAAAAGGGAGUUCGUUUCCCGUGUCAAAUAAGUAUCCCUUAAAACAUGAAAUGAAAGUAUGCAUCGAGGAAAUGAACGUGCACAUUAAUGGAGUGGUUUCUCAAAUAGGGGGGCCCCCUUCCUUUCCGCGCCAACAUGUGGGUGUAUAUCUAGGCUGUACCUAGCUCCACGGAGCAAUCAACCCCCUUUUUUCGAAGCCAACCACCGAGACCAUCCUCUUGCACGAGGAAUGCGCGGUGUAGGUCAGCUGCUCCUUCUGUGAAACUAAACUUCCUGCGUCCACGUGCACAUCUGCUCCCUUUCAGGCACCUGGAAGGGGAAAUCUCGUGGUCCUGGAUGAGUAUACGUAGUCACGUAUCACGUGUAUCCCGAGGGUUCUUCGCGACUCGAUGGUGUACAUGUAUAAUGAUGGAGGAACAUAAAUAUUCUCGUCGUUAAUUACAGGUAUGGAAGAUUUAUUCUUUGUUUCGUGUUCUCCGGUAUUUAUGGGGAAUAAUAAUGGAUUGGUAUUGUUACGUCACAUUGACAGAGAGUCUAUGAGAAGUUUUUAUUGAGAUUUUUAUACGGUUCGUACAUUUGAAUAUUGUUCCGUGUAUCAUAAUGUGCGAGUUCUUGUGAAUUGUGUUUCCUGACUCUUUGAAUGAUCAGAAGAUAUUUAAAUGAAUGUUUUCUAUUUUUAGAGAAGAUUUUUAUGAACGUAUGAGGAAUAAAUUGUGAUAAUAUUGAUUUUUAUGACAGCCAAAUUGAAAAGUUGAUUCUUAGAAAGAUCUAUGAAAAUGAAAUAGACAGUAUGUAUAUUGUGCGGAUAUAAACUAUUAUUGAGGUAGUUUAACGAAACAAUUAACGGAUCAAUAAAAAUGAACGAGAAAUUCAAUAUGAUGUAUCAAGGUUCAUCAAUGAAAAUUUCCCCGGUUCGAGGUGACGUUGCAACGAGCAAAAUCCUUGAGAUGUUAGAUCCCAUAUCGGGAAAGUGGCAGGAAUUCCGAGCAAACGGGACACCCUGUAUUCGCUUGGUUGUGUAAUCGGCCUUAAGGAUAAACGGACGCACACACGUUUAAGUAGCAUUCGCAAGUAGGGAGGUUCGUAUCACAAAACGGCCAAGUGAAAGGAUAGGCACCAGUUCAUCUUGUGUCUCAACCUCCAACCAACCUUCUCGAAUAUAUCCAUUCGUGCUGCAAGUGCGUCAGCUAUUCGCAUAAAACAACGGUUAAUUCGAAUUCACGUCGUUCACUCGGCGAGCGAAACGAGAAACGCAGUUAUAUUAUUCCUUUGACUAUUUUUUUCAGAAGGAAAAUACAUUCGUGUUUAUUCGUUGCUUGUUUUACGAGGGCACGCAUAAGUUAUUAUAUAAAUUUCUACCAUUCGUGGCGAUGCACACAGAUAAUGGAUAAAAGAAUUCGAGAAAGUUGCACAACAACUAAAAGAUAUCGUACAAAUAUACAUCUUGUAUAAUUCUCAACAGGAAAUUUCAGCAAUUUUAUUUCCCUCAAUUUACCUAACACCACAAAAGAAUCAGCCAACAGCUUAUCAUCACACGACAUCUUUCUCUUAUUUCGAUCUUCAUCUCCACAAUCGCCUACCAACGUGUAAUUAAGGAUCAUGAAUAUUCGACCGCCAUUCCGUUCCUUUCUUCCAUCGAUCUAAACAACCAGGAUCUCGAUCUAGAUAACUGGCUCGAUAUCAUUUCCACGAGCAAUCCAAUUUUACGCAGAAGGAAAAGCGAAAUCUGAGUAUCAACAAUAUUCCCAGACGUUGAACAUCUUCGAAAGCGUGCGCAACAUCUGUUCGCCUCAAUUGUGAAAUCACUCCCAAUUUUCAACGUGGAAAGAAACCUUUCGAACUCAACUCGACUGGGUAAAAUAACGAUGAAAUCACGGAGGAACGCACCGCUUGCACGGAUCGAGGAUGCACCUGCAUCUGGUGCAUUUUCGGAUGGAUCACUGGCCAGAUGUCCCUCACACCCGUGUCGAGCUUUGGUACACGUUUCUGGCUGCUGUUCAAAAUUAUCCAGAAUUCAAUUAUUCUUUGUUUGAAGUGAAUUUGGAUAGGAUAAUUUAAGAUUAGAAGAUUUUUAAAUACUGCUAUUGACUACUAUUGAGUGAUGUUACGUGGAAUGUUGUAUUCGUUGAAGUGAAUUGAUAAUAUGAAUGAUAGUGAGAUAAUUUAGAAGAUUUUUGGAUGAUGUGUCCGUUCAAAUUUGGAAUGAGUUGAUACUGUAGAUGGUAAUUAUUAUACGAAUCAACAUCGUUGGAUGAUUAUCUUAUAUGACAACGCCCAUUGUCUAUUAAAUGAAAUUAUCGAGUAAAUUUGUCGCAAUCUGAUCACAGGAUUAACGAGACAUAAAAUUUCAUAGAAUUAAAAUUUGUUCACAGAAAGUUGAGAUAAUUACUGGAGGAUAUUGCAAUUAUUAAAAACAUUCUGUUAUUACAAGAUUAUGAUAAUACAACGACAACGGAGUAUACAAAAAUCUUAAUUUAUAAUCGAAGCAAGAAAUCAAAUUUGUUUCAACAAAAUUCUAUUUUAAUUAUAUCUUUCUUUCAUUAACAAUUAUUCAAUGUGUCCUAUAACGAAACUUUAUUUUUCAGUUCCAACCAAUUUGCAAUAAACAGGAUAUAGAAUAUCGUGACACGUCGCCCACCACAUGAAACAUCGAAAUAUUUUAUCGAAAUACACAGCUUCAAGGACUACGAGUUUUACAAGCAAUACACAGAAUUAAUCACAAUAUGCAUUCUCGCGUUAUUAUUUUCUAAAAGAUCCACAAAUAACGCAUCAAUGUGCACGAUGAAAUACGUAAACACAAAUUACGUGGAAAUUUAUUCGAUCAUUCCCACACGGGUAACCAAUCCUUAAGAUCAAUCGACAUGGAGGGAGAAUCAAAAAGUUGUCUACGAGAAUACUUUUUUCUCGUAAAGGAUUCCAAAGAAUCGAAACAUUCGAAGUGAAAAGGAAAUAAAAUAGGAGACGCGAUGUUGAAUCUACGAUCGGAGCAGGUGGUACGUGGAAUUACAGACCCUUCUCCUAUUCGCAUAUAUGUACAAGUAUGCGCUGGAAUUCGGUGUUCUCCCUUUCAUACUAAUUCAUUCACCUUAAACAGAAUAGUUUAAAAAAU